AUUGAACGCUGGCGGCAUGCUUUACACAUGCAAGUCGAACGGCAGCGCGGGCUUCGGCCUGGCGGCGAGUGGCGAACGGGUGAGUAAUGCAUCGGAACGUGCCCAGUAGUGGGGGAUAGCCCGGCGAAAGCCGGAUUAAUACCGCAUACGACCUGAGGGUGAAAGCGGGGGACCGAAAGGCCUCGCGCUAUUGGAGCGGCCGAUGUCGGAUUAGCUAGUUGGUGGGGUAAAGGCUUACCAAGGCGACGAUCCGUAGCUGGUCUGAGAGGACGACCAGCCACACUGGAACUGGGACACGGCCCAGACUCCUACGGGAGGCAGCAGUGGGGAAUUUUGGACAAUGGGGGCAACCCUGAUCCAGCCAGGCCGCGUGCGGGAAGAAGGCCUUCGGGUUGUAAACCGCUUUUGUUCGGGAAGAAAUCCUCUGGGCUAAUACCCCGGGGGAUGACGGUACCGGAAGAAUAAGCACCGGCUAACUACGUG
Molecule: ribosomal RNA, 483 nt
Filed under: uncultured bacterium
Lineage: Bacteria
Description: partial 16S ribosomal RNA
Rfam family: Bacterial small subunit ribosomal RNA
Source: RNAcentral